GACAGGAAAUGCACUAUACCCAGCCAUAGUUGAUUGCAAUGCUUCCUUUUAAAAUUGCCUUUCAUGAUGAUAAACAGUGUAAAAAUGCUGUUCAUCUACAUAAAAUAGAAUUCUAUAAGCAGAUCUGCUGGACACUCAUAAAUUAUUUAAUUCCCAAUAUGAGUAACAGAGUAAGGUUAAUUGUUUUCAAAAGCCAUCUUAUUGUUAAUGCGUUCAGUGGAGGUACUGUGUCUUGUGUACUCUACUGACAUUUAGAAUAUUUUUUUCAAAAUGCAAAGUAAAAUGAAUUCUUUAAACAGUCUUUUUUCUGAAUGGCUGUUCUUGGAUCAAAGUGCAAAUAUUAAGACUGAAGUCACCUUAAAUCAUAUAAUGCCAGAUUAAUUUAUCUUAUGCAAGAGAUAUGUGCAGCUUUGUUAUACCUGUAUACAGUUUAAGUCAAGAGCGCCUAUUGGUCUUAGGUGCAUCUUACCUCUGUAACCUGUUGUCCAACAUCCCUUAUGCUAAAUAAGUAUUAGUGUUUCUCUGUAGAUACCCUAUAGGCCGGUAGUAGAAAGAAUGCUUGUGAGGUCUCUCUUUGCCCAUUAUUCAUCAGUCUCCAAAUUGUAAACAGUGAAGUGCGCCAUAGGUGACCCUAUACCAGCUGAACCAAUGUCAUCUGUAGUGAAUAUUUAUGCUUGAAUAAUUAAUGAGUGAUAGAUGGUAAUUUAAAAAUAGAUUUCCAUACAUUCUGCAUUAUGCUUACUUCCAUAAGUAGUCUUUGUAGAGAUUUAAUAGAUCAAAUCCCACAAAGGAGCUGGCUGUUUCAUCGUGUUUCACAUUCUAAACUAGAAUGCUGCUUUGAAAUCCCAUUUCUGAAAAAUUGUUCAGCAACUGUUGAGAUUAUUAUUUAUUUUAAGAUGCCAGACCAUUAGGAAAAAAAAACAAGUUGUGUUUUAUAUUGACAAAAUAUAUUAAUUUUAUGGGAUUACAUUUUGUGAUGAAAUACCCUUAAAUAUCAGUGUACAAAUUUGCCAAUUAUACAUGGUUCAGUAGUCUACAUCACUCUAAUAGCCAGGUAUAGCUAGAAAACUUGAUUAUAAUUAGUGGCCAAGUUAUACUCUUUGUUCUUAACUCAGAAUAAAGUAUUAUUUGACGAGAGUAGAAGAAACAAAAAUUAGCACAGAAAGUCUGUAUGUUUACUGAAGUUCUUACCACUGCAGAGAAAUUGGAAAACUGAUAAACUGUUCCAUGAAGUUAUGAAUUAAGUAAUAACCAGAGGAGUAAUUUGCUGUUGGAUUUAAUCAAGUUGGAUUUUUUAAUUUAAACUGCAUUAAUUUCAAUACAUAUUUGAAUAGAAAUUUCAAAAAAAGUGUAAGUAGCUAAUGAAGGAAAUAAUACCAGUUGUAGUUAAUGAAGGAAGUCCUAUCAGUUCUUUUUAUAUAUAAGUGCUUCUUAUUUCUAAUUCCUGUCUUUCCUUAAUUUGGUACUGAAUCAGCUGUCUUCUGUUGGACCAGUCUCUUUUAUUGGCAUCUGCAUUUUAAGAUUGUUUAUGGGUUUAAAGAGUUUUUGAUAUUUACCACAUGGAUAUAAAUUUAUAAUACCAUUAUUGUGACAGUCCAGCAGAAGCUGUAAGUCCUUCCUAUCCUGACAAAAUUAUUUCAAGUGGAUUACUGUGCUCUACACUUGUUAUUUUUAUUGUGCUUGUAAUAACAGAAGGUUAGCUUUUAGAUUUGUUGCUGUGUGAAGGCAGUGUUAUGACUGUAAGGUUAUGCCUGAAUUAUGAUUAAGGAGGAAAUCUGAAGCCAGAGAGCUAGCUCAGUAACUUUGAAGUUCAAAUGUGUGUGUGCAUCCCACACCAGUGUAAUGCUUCUUCCUACAUACAUAGAAGCCAUACUGAUUACUGAUAUAUUUCUAGGUAUUUCCAAGUUAGUACGGGGGUUUGGUAAUUCGUUAUGGCAGUGUCCAUACCAGACUGUUCAGUGCCACAUUAUAGAUACUUGAUCUGGCUCAGAACAAGCUGGUUUGUCAGAUGUGGCAGAGUUGGUUCCUCAUGAGCAGUACUGUAAGUCCUGGGAACUGUAUUGGCACACUGUGUCCCAGCUACUUAGCUCUGCAUCCCAGUCAGAUAAACUGGUUGAGUGUUGAUCUGCAUAUAGAGCUUUCCAGACCUAUAGUGAGCUCUGCAGGUACAAGCUCAAGAAUUUCAGACUUGUGGUUUGUGCAGUUCACAGCAUGGUCUGUACUGCUGCCUUCUUCAGUGAAGUGCAGUACUGCAUCAGAUUAUUGUAGGAGUCAUCUAGACAAAGUGAGUGUAUGCCUUGGGCUAUAGGUUAGGUUGGUCCAUCCAAUUAUUUGAUUUUUGGUCUUCCCUUAGUCAUUGUGCCUUAUACUGACUCGUAUCUGUGUGACAUUGUUCAGUCAUUAUUCCUCGCUAGACAGAAGGAUCUCCACCCUCUCCUUCGAGUUGAGCUGCUUCUGAUGAAUUUUCAUGUGCUAAGCCUUCCCAGAGAAUUCCUAAUUUCUGAAAUACAUUGCUUAUUUUCUCCUCUUUGGAUCAGUUUUUCUUCCCUCAGAAGUAACUGUCUUGUUUUCACCAAGAACAUAACCUUAUCUUCAGAAUGUACAAAGUUGAUUUUCUCAUGAGAUCAUGGUUAGUGCUGGAUAGGAAUUAUUUGGGAAGUUUUUUGUGAAAAGUUGUCCAUUCCCUUCUUGUGGGUUUGCAAAUACAGAAGUGCAUAGGGCAGCAUUUGAGACGUGGGAAAUGAGCUUAAAGUUCCUUACAAUGUUAGGUUUACAGAUUGCAUUACCUAGUUAAACUGGCUUUAUGCACUUACCACUUUGCAGUUAAGAGACUCAAUCUUUGUGAAGUUACACUUACGUAAAUUCAUUUUCUAAGGGGAAAAUGUGUGUAUGCGAGGUAUUCCUUUCCGUGUGUAUGAGUGGGGUUUGCUGGUUGUGUUUUUUUUUUUGUUUCGUGUUUGUUUUUAAUAAGGUUAUGAAUGAAAUUUUGUCUUCAGUUUUAAGGGUGGUAGAUUAAAAAUUCUUUCCUUCUGUAGGUACCUAGAGAACAGACUGUUCUUGGGAGUGUCUGUUCUAGAACAGGGUUGCUUAUGAAAUAAGAAUACAAGUUGUUGAUAGUAUCUUUAUUUAGAUUUUACAGCCAAACACAUUAAAUUUUCAGGGUAUUUUUGAGGAAUUUCUAAUAGAAUUCUUGUCUCAUCUGUCUUCUUAAAAGUUUUUUGUUCUUACUAGUAUUUGAUUUUGUGCACUAAAAGCUAGUUAAAAGAAGAAACUGACCCAAUCCAAAUUGUAUCUCACGUUAUUGUAGAUAGUUAUUACACAAUAUAGUUUAACAACUAUUUCCAGAAAUUUGUAAAAAUAAUUUCUCAGUCCAUGUCCUCUUUGCUUAAAUUUGCUUACACCAAUUCUUCUGACUUUUUGAGUGUGAAUAAGUACGAGCACUCCUUCUACAGUAAGUGUAGAGGACAGUCAUGUUAAGAUUUUAAGACAGGAAAGCACUGUUACGAUAAUGUGAUCUGAGCUUUAUAACACAAGCCUAAUAGUCAAUUAGCUUCAUUACAGGGCAGUGAUUUUUAGGUACUUUGGUCAGUAAUAUUAACUAGUUUUGUGCUGGAGCAAGUGUUGCAUAGCAGUAUCAAGUUACAGUGUAGUCAUUGUUUGGUGGCUGUCUUGGACAAUUCAGGAAGUUGCUUUUCUUUACCUGCCUGGGUUCCCAAUUCAAAGAUAUGUUUUCUCAGUGCGUAUUGAAAGAAAGGAAAAGUCAGCUAUGUUAUUUUUUACUCUUUCAGUGUCCAGCUCCUGAUAACUUGUGCGGUAUGUUUGAGUGAUCAGUAUUUGCUUAGGAAGGGAUGCUCAAAGUUUGAACAGAAGUUUAUACUAAAAGAUGUUCAUGGAUAGAUUGCCAAAAAAUAGAGAAAGCACCUGUUUAGUUGAGAAAGAGCAUGUAAUUUUUUUUCCAGAAAUAUCUGCAUGUGCCACUAGAAUAUUUCCUGACAUUUGUUUCUUUUCUUUCUCAGUGUAUUUCAGGAAAUGGAAAACUUGCUUUUGAUCAGUUUUGUUUUGUUUUUUUUUUUUGCUCUACUCUUAAAACAAGUAGAACUGGAAACUUUAUUUUAGAGAGUCUAUGAUCUUGUUGUUGCAUAGAAUGAGGUCUAUGCCCUAUGUAUAAUUAGGGUCAUGGUUGUAAUUGGUUAAUCCUCAUCCACAUAAAAUUAUUUUAUUUUUUUGUAUGGUUUUUGUGUUUUGGUUUGGUUUUGUUUUGAUUUGAUUCCUCUUCAGAAUAUGUAGAAAUAAAUAUUUAAAGUUCUUUGGUGCAGCCGAUCACUGCUCUCAUCUUCUGAGCAGGCUUCUGCCUGUCAGCAAUUUAAAAAUAUGAGCAUUGAUUGUUUGGUUAAAUGCUUAUGUUCUGUUUCAUAAAUCCUGUAAUUUAAUUGUAUUUUUAAAAAUAAAUAUUCUAUGGUAGUAUCAUAGCCAUUACUGUUUUAAUAAGUGGGGGAAUUAGUAGGCUUGUGCUUAAAUGUUAGAUUUUAAUUGAUAUUUCCCAAAGAUGAUCUAAAGCUUUUUCUGUAUUCUAAGUGUCUGUGUGCUAUCAGUACUGCAGGUAUACUUGUAGUCAAAUUUCUGUACUCUGUAAAUGACAGAAAAUAUGGUAUGCUUUUGCCCAAACAGUCCUGAGGUAAAAGGUUCAGCAUUCAUGACAAGUGAGACUACAUAGUCUAAUUAGCAGUCAUUUGAGUGAUGCCUAAUACUAAGAAAACUCUCCUGAGUUCUGAGAGAAUGGCACCUCUGUAGUGAGGCUUAACCAGGUGGUACUUUCCAUUAACUAUUUAGUAUUGCCCAAGGCCAUCUUCAGUAUUAAUGGCAACUAUGCCAUGCAUAUAGAUAGGCUGUGGUGAUUCAUUCUAUUCAAGGGUGGUGCAUGGAUAGGUAUCAUUGAACAGUUCUGUUCUGAAGUAGACCACUGAACAUCCUUAAAACUAUAUAUGCAGCAGAAGCUUGGGAGACUUGCAGUGGUUUUCUAUUUUAUUCACUUCUGUUGCUUUUGGAUGUCGUGGAUAGUUCAUUUUGCAAAUACUCCUUUUCUACUUACAGUUGCUAUAAUACGAAAGGUUUUUUAAACCCAAAGCUCUCAGAACAUGAAUUUACAGUGGUUUUAUGACAAAUAGCUGACAAUUUAAAGCAGAUCUAAAGAUACUUGUAGUUGACUAGUUUGUAAGAAGGAAAAAAAAAGAGGGUAGUGAUUUUUCUAGACUGAUUAUGUCUAGAUCUCAUAAUCUUAUAUAUGUAUUUAAUGAGAAAAAAAGACUGAAUACCACUUCCAAAAACACUUACAUUCUUAAUAUACUUGAUAGAAAAGGGAUCUGCUGAUAAAGGAUAAUAUUGUGUGUAAAAAUAUCUAUCUGCAAUUUUAUUUACCUGCAUGUUUACCAGCAUCUUCUUUGUUUGCUCUUAUAAAUACAAAUCAUUUUAGACCAUUUUUAAAGCAUUGCAAAUUUAAUGUGUUUACUCUGAAACUUUUUAACAUUUUGCUUGGGCUGUAAGAGCUCUUAAAUUGAUAUACUACAU
Long non-coding RNA from Pezoporus occidentalis (night parrot), 5565 nucleotides. RefSeq lists it as uncharacterized. Lineage: Eukaryota; Metazoa; Chordata; Aves; Psittaciformes; Psittacidae. The record is from RefSeq and is a predicted model, not a curated record. The transcript is spliced from 2 exons.